Molecule: ribosomal RNA, 777 nt
Filed under: Triticum aestivum (bread wheat)
Lineage: Eukaryota; Viridiplantae; Streptophyta; Magnoliopsida; Poales; Poaceae
Description: partial small subunit ribosomal RNA
Source: RNAcentral
AUGGCCGCCUUCUUGGUAUACAAUACGAGUCUUCACUUCAAGGACAUGGACAUGGGAGGAGAGGUGCUGGUCCGGAGAGGGGAGGCCGCAGGGGCCAUUGCUGACAUGCACUCACCUAGGGCUAGGGAACCAGAGCAUCGCUAUGCCGUCUAUUGGAAAGGAGCGCUUUAUGUGCACUGCCAAAACGAAUCCAUUAUGCGCAUAACCUUGUCGAAUGGCGAGUAUGAAGUUAUUAAAUCGCCUACAAGCAUGGAUGAGUUUACAGAUUUUUAUAUAUGGAAAUCGAAGAGGGGGCUGUACUGUGCUUUAAUUUAUAAAGAUAGAUCAUACCGACUUCAGGUUUGGUUACUUAGUGAAUUGAGGGGUAAAAUGGAGUGGGGGUUGAAGAUUGACACCAGCCUUGUGCUAGUGGUGGCAAUGUUUUCUUGGUUGUCUCACGAAGAAAAUUCCGUUCCGUGGAUCUUACAUGGUGGUAAUUAUGAUGGAGAUGGUAAAAAAGUGAUCGUGGAAGAGCAAUGUGAAUGGGACUUCAACAAUGGUAGUAUCCUUGAGACAAGAGAUGGGGAUGAAUAUGACUUUGUGUCUGGUAGUAUUUAUUUCCUUGGAUUUCAUCCGUAUUAUGAGAUUGCCUUCUUGUGGGUAUCAAGAGCAAGAGUAGUUGCCUAUCAUUUGAGUAGCUUGAAAGUUCAAGACUUGGGCAUGUUACACGUACAAUGUGUAGGAGAUUCCUUUCCAUACACACCAUAUUGGACAGGGGAGUUAUUUGGAAAGCAUUGA